UACGGAGGAUGCAAGCGUUAUCCGGAAUGAUUGGGCGUAAAGGGUCCGCAGGUGGAACUGAAAGUCUGCUGUUAAAGAGUCUGGCUCAACCAGAUAAAAGCAGUGGAAACUACAGAACUAGAGUACGUUCGGGGCAGAAGGAAUUCCUGGUGUAGCGGUGAAAUGCGUAGAUAUCAGGAAGAACACCGGUGGCGAAAGCGUUCUGCUAGGCCGUAACUGACACUGAGGGACGAAAGCUAGGGGAGCGAAU
Molecule: ribosomal RNA, 250 nt
Filed under: uncultured bacterium
Lineage: Bacteria
Description: partial 16S ribosomal RNA
Rfam family: Bacterial small subunit ribosomal RNA
Source: RNAcentral